Molecule: ribosomal RNA, 503 nt
Filed under: Arthrobacter sp. BL_F
Lineage: Bacteria; Bacillati; Actinomycetota; Actinomycetes; Micrococcales; Micrococcaceae
Description: bacterial SSU rRNA
Rfam family: Bacterial small subunit ribosomal RNA
Source: RNAcentral
AGAGUUUGAUCCUGGCUCAGGAUGAACGCUGGCGGCGUGCUUAAGACAUGCGAGUCGAACGAUGAUCCCAGCUUGCUGGGGGAUUAGUGGCGAACGGGUGAGUAACACGUGAGUAACCUGCCCUUAACUCUGGGAUAAGCCUGGGAAACUGGGUCUAAUACCGGAUAUGACUCCUCAUCGCAUGGUGGGGGGUGGAAAGCUUUAUUGUGGUUUUGGAUGGACUCGCGGCCUAUCAGCUUGUUGGUGAGGUAAUGGCUCACCAAGGCGACGACGGGUAGCCGGCCUGAGAGGGUGACCGGCCACACUGGGACUGAGACACGGCCCAGAAUCCUACGGGAGGCAGCAGUGGGGAAUAUUGCACAAUGGGCGAAAGCCUGAUGCAGCGACGCCGCGUGAGGGAUGACGGCCUUCGGGUUGUAAACCUCUUUCAGUAGGGAAGAAGCGAAAGUGACGGUACCUGCAGAAGAAGCGCCGGCUAACUACGUGCCAGCAGCGCCGGUAAU